Molecule: ribosomal RNA, 253 nt
Filed under: uncultured bacterium
Lineage: Bacteria
Description: partial 16S ribosomal RNA
Rfam family: Bacterial small subunit ribosomal RNA
Source: RNAcentral
UACAGAGGUGGCAAGCGUUGUUCGGAAUUACUGGGCGUAAAGGGCUCGUAGGCGGCCAACUAAGUCCGACGUGAAAUCCCAAAGCUUAACUUUGGAACUGCGUCGGAUACUGGAUGGCUUGAAUUCGGGAGAGGGAUGCAGAAUUCCAGGUGUAGCGGUGAAAUGCGUAGAUAUCUGGAGGAACACCGGUGGCGAAGGCGGCAUCCUGGACCGGCAUUGACGCUAAAGCGCGAAAGCCAGGGGAGCAAACGGG